AAUCAGACCACAGUGCUUGGAGCACAAUGGGCCCUUAAAAAUGGGGACAAGAGGGAAGAAGAAAGGAAGGCUGGGGCAAGCAAAAAGGAGAGCCAGAUUUCUUUGUCAAGUUUUAAAAGUAUCGCUGUACGGAAAUUUUACAGAAGAAAUUUUGAACACCACAGAUUUUUGCCUUUUGAGUUAUUAUUUGCAUUAACGUAAUAUUAACAGGGCAACAAUGUUUUUCGAUUUAUCAUGUGGUUAAGCAAAUUGUUAAACACAUUUGAUUACCGAAAACAGGGAAUAUGGUAGAAGAUCAAAGACAUGCCAGAAAUUUUUAUUUUAUGUGGGACACUCGGAAUUUAGUUGAGCCUGACAGAGUCCUGCUGGCUAACACCAAGGAGAGACUAUUGCUGGCCCCAUGCAAGUGGCUGGAAUAAUGGAAGUCAAGAAGGAAAUCUCCACAUGGUCGACACUUUGAAGUUGGUCAUAGAUAGGAAGUUAGAACAAACUCCAGUGGGUGAGGGGUCAUGAGUUUACCAGGAGAAGGUAACUUAAGACUGAAUGAACAAAAAGAAUUUGUGGUCACACGAAAAUAAGGAGCAAAACUUCAGGAACAGUCUGAGAUAACAAGAAGCUUUAUUUCCAAUAUAUGGGUCCCAUCCCAUUGUAACACUAAUUGAGAACUUCCCGUCUGGAGGAAAGAAGAGAAUGAAUGACAUGCAACAUUGGACCCUAAACAGAACCAAUGACAAACCUGUGAGCUCACAAGCACACUUCUGGAGAACCUGGCUACCAGAGAAGUGUUACUUCCAAGCUGUAAAAUCACUCAGCAGUCCCUGCAACUGAUGCAACCUUUACUUUAAGAGAAUAGGAGGACAUCAUGUUCAUAAAGAAACCUUGGAUCUCGAACGUACCUAAAAAGCAGCUUAAAGUCCUUGGAGCAAACAGUACAGCUGAGAAAUGUUACACCAGUUGGGUGUCAAUCCAUAAAACCCGUUCUAGAGAAAAUCGUGGAGGUAAAAAUAAAGGAGGAAGAGUAUAGGGCAGGAUGGUAGCUUUACAAAUGAGUAUAACACCUGAAUGGAAAAAAAAAUUAAAAAGACCUUCUUGGUA
Long non-coding RNA from Homo sapiens (human), 1095 nucleotides. Ensembl annotates it as long intergenic non-protein coding RNA 923. The record is from Ensembl. Lineage: Eukaryota; Metazoa; Chordata; Mammalia; Primates; Hominidae.